RNAcentral lists this microRNA (20 nucleotides) under Drosophila ananassae. RNAcentral describes it as "miR-311a-RA". Lineage: Eukaryota; Metazoa; Arthropoda; Insecta; Diptera; Drosophilidae. The record is from RNAcentral.
UUGCACUUAUACCGGCCUGA